UAAAAGUUCCAAACUUUCCAAUCUUUCCAAUCUUUUUAUGGUGUUUAGAAAGAUCAAUAUAUUCACAUCUAAUCCGCUCCGUCUACGAAGAAAAACAUUCCCAAUUGAAACCCCAACAACUUGAAAUUCAUCACAGAGGCGCAAUUCUGCCAGAGGAUGCUAUCUCUUCAUCUCCUCUCGUCAGUAUCUUCUUUUGACAACCCUUCCCUACAACGUGCGCGCCUCUCAAAACCCGGUAUCAGUUCUAAUCCCCCAAUUCAUUCAAAUGCCAUUUCCCCAAAAUUCGCACAUGCCCACUUCGCCAAUCGCUCUAUUUCCCCUUCUGUAACUCUCAGUCAAUUGCGUAUUCAAUCCCGAAGCAGUAGUUUUCUACCCUUUAAGCCUCCAAACGAUGGAGCCCACUGGAAGAGGGGUUACUGUAGUGCUGUUAAUGACUCUGACGAGAAAACUAGGUCAGUUUUGGACUCCGGUGGCGGCGGUGAUGGAGGUGAAGGAGGCGAUGGAAGUGAUGAUAAUGGGAAGGUGGAUAAGCAAAAGGGUUCUUCCGGGUUUCUGCCAGAAUGGUUGAAUUUAACUUCGGACGACGCCAAAACGGUCCUUGCAGCCAUUGCAAUAUCUCUUGCCUUCAGGACAUUUAUUGCAGAACCGAGGUACAUUCCGUCGCUAUCAAUGUAUCCUACCUUUGAUGUUGGGGAUCGACUUGUAGCAGAGAAGGUCACUUACUAUUUCAGAAAGCCUUGUGCUAACGAUAUCGUGAUAUUUAAAAGCCCACCAGUGCUUCAGGAAGUAGGAUAUACAGAUGAAGAUGUCUUCAUUAAAAGAGUUGUUGCUAAAGGAGGUGAUACUGUGGAGGUCCGGAAGGGAAAACUUAUAGUUAAUGGGGUCGAGAGAGAUGAAAAGUUUGUCCUUGAACCACCAUCAUAUGACAUGAGUCCGGUUCAAGUGCCAGAAAACUCGGUGUUUGUGAUGGGCGAUAAUCGCAAUAACAGCUAUGAUUCUCAUGUGUGGGGUCCACUGCCAGCCAAAAAUAUAAUAGGAAGAUCAUUAUUCCGCUAUUGGCCUCCGAACAGGAUUGGUGGAACCGUUAUCGAGCCUAGCUGUGCUACUGAUAAACAAGAGGGCACUCCUUCCACACCAGAGAUUUCCAGCCAACAGACCACAAAUUCACAACCGUAACAGUUUCGGUCAUGUUCUUUGUUCUGCAAAUGCCUUAUAGUUCCCAUUAGGUCCCAAAUUUGAAAGAUAAAUAUAAAAAGGUUGGAGGUAUUCCAUACGCAAAAGAGCAGUGAGGUUGGACUAAGUCAUUGGAAGUGGAAGCGGUGAGAUAAAAGGGAGAAAGAAAAAGAGAAGAUCAUGUUGGAAGGGAAAGCCACCGUCAAACAAACCGACAUGUCGGAGAAGAUGCAGAUUCACGCCAAGGCCUCUGCAUCUCACGCCCUCGAUCUCUUCGACGUCUCCGAUUGCCUCUCUCUUGCUGCCCAUAUCAAGAAGGAAUUUGAUCGGAGCUAUGGGAGUGGGUGGCAAUGUGUGGUGGGUUCCAAUUUCGGCUGCUUCUUCACUCAUUCAAAGGGGACCUUCAUCUAUUUUUCUCUUGAAACUCUCAAUUUUCUCAUCUUUAAAGCUGCUUCCAACUAAUUAUUUCCAAACUUACCAUUUCAAAGCACCACAAAUGCUUUCAUCUUCAGGGGCACCCUCGUCCUUUCCCCUCCUCCCUCUAAAUCUCAUGGAACCAACCAUGUAUGUGUAUCAAUUAUGUUUCGCCAUUCACUUUCUUUCUUCCUACUUCAUCUCCUUCUACUUGUAAUA
Cucurbita maxima (winter squash) is the source of this 1806-nucleotide RNA transcript. It is a transcript of the gene named chloroplast processing peptidase-like, with no coding region annotated. The record is from RefSeq and is a predicted model, not a curated record. Lineage: Eukaryota; Viridiplantae; Streptophyta; Magnoliopsida; Cucurbitales; Cucurbitaceae. The transcript has 8 exons.